Hibiscus syriacus is the source of this 794-nucleotide long non-coding RNA. RefSeq lists it as uncharacterized. The transcript is spliced from 5 exons. NCBI's taxonomy places the organism in Eukaryota, Viridiplantae, Streptophyta, Magnoliopsida, Malvales, Malvaceae. The record is from RefSeq and is a predicted model, not a curated record.
ACGAUGAGAGCUCUUCGACGAAAGAAAAAUAAAAAAGAAGAUAGAUAUGAAAUACUACGAAGAGACCAUGUUUGAAAGUUUCUCUACGGUGGAUCAAUCCAUCGUCAGUGUUUAGCGGCUCGAGAUUCUACUUGCUUAGGGUUUCUCUAUCGCUGAUUUGUUCUAUCGACCCUAAACUCCAAUCAGUUGCUAAAAGAUCUGGAAUCACCUUCGAUUGGUUGAGAAGGAAAACCAAGAAUAUGAUGAGAGGGAGCGACAAGCUCGCAAGGAGAAGAAACUUGCCAAGGCAGAGGCAAAGAUUCUGAGAGGUCCACACGAGGAUCUUCAGAGCUAUCUUGAAGCAAUUGAUCAGCUGAGAAGCAACAUUCAGUAUUUCACUAACCACAAAAGUUUUAAAAGUACAGCUGGUGUACUUACCCAUGCCAAUAAUUUGCUGACAAAAGCUAUCUCAAAAUUAAAAGAUGAGUUUAAAAAUCUAUUAACAAACUACAGUGAGGUGGUGGAACAUGAACGCCUUUUCGAUGACCUGCCAGAUUCAUUGCGACCGUCAGCAUCACCUGCGAAGCGAGGUGAUAACAAGAAAGAUUCUGACACCAAAAGAACUUAGAAAAUGCUGUUUACACACCUCCUACUCUUAUACCUCCCAGGGUUCUACCUUUGUUGCGUAAUUUAUCCCAACAAAUGGUUCAAGUCGGCCACCAGCAACAGUUGUUCAGGAUUUACAGUGUGAACCUACUGGUGAACUGCUCUUCGAACUCGUAUCACAUUCAGUUUCCACCUUACCAGGAAAUGAC